GCCGGAGUGGUGAAACAGGCAGACGCGCGGGACUCAAAAUCCCGUACCCGAAAGGGUGUGGGGGUUCGAUUCCCCCCUCCGGCACCA
This 87-nucleotide transfer RNA is filed under the name Deltaproteobacteria bacterium RIFCSPLOWO2_02_FULL_53_8. RNAcentral's name for it is "tRNA-Leu". It matches the Rfam family "tRNA". From Rfam's summary of the family: Transfer RNA (tRNA) molecules are approximately 80 nucleotides in length. Their secondary structure includes four short double-helical elements and three loops (D, anti-codon, and T loops). Further hydrogen bonds mediate the characteristic L-shaped molecular structure. tRNAs have two regions of fundamental functional importance: the anti-codon, which is responsible for specific mRNA codon recognition, and the 3' end, to which the tRNAs corresponding amino acid is attached (by aminoacyl-tRNA synthetases). tRNAs cope with the degeneracy of the genetic code in two manners: having more than one tRNA (with a specific anti-codon) for a particular amino acid; and 'wobble' base-pairing, i.e. permitting non-standard base-pairing at the 3rd anti-codon position. Lineage: Bacteria; Deltaproteobacteria. The record is from RNAcentral.